CACACAGAACAUAUACUUACUCUGUCUCCUUUAGGGCCUGCGGGGCCAUGGGGACCAACUGAGCCAUCUAUACCCUGCAAAAGGAAACAAAGAGGAGAAAGAGACUCAGAGAUGCAGGGUGCCUAUCGUGUCCUGUGACAACACAGGGGAGCCUCUGAUUCCUCAGAACCAAAAUCUUCUGUCACCAGUGAGAAGGACCUGCCUCCUACUCUCAUGAAAGGGAGCUGAAUGCACAGCAUUUACUGUUUGAUGUACUAUGGAUUCAAAGAGCAAAUUCCCCAGCUUCAGAUGGCCUCAUGCAGCACAGAGUCAUUAUAACUCCUGCAGAACCUUUACUUGCAGAAGCAGCCUCAGCCACACAGCAGCCAGGGGCAUUUCUUCCCCUGGAAGGAAGAACAGAGCAGCAUUACCUGGUCUAUGUCCUUCCAAACAUACCACAUGCCUCUGACAGUUUGAUUCCCCUUACAGGAAUAUAUGAAAGGGAUUCUAGUCAAUCCUUAUUUUGUUCCCUAACAGGUACAUGUGAAAAAAGAUUCUAGUCAAUACUUAUUUUCUUCCUAAUGAGAUGUAAUAAUGUACCAUAGUCUGAAGGUUAACAGUCAGUCAAACAUGCAGGGUUAGCUUGUGAUCACUGAAGGAACAGAGCCAUUCUUUGUUAGUCUCACCAGCUGCAACUGCAUAGGCUUUCAAUACAAGAAGUGUGCUGUGGCUAGAAGGGAAGGUGGGUUAGUCGAAUAUCACUUUUCAUGUUAAUUAGUAUCAUCAUUCCUGUGCUUUUUUAAAAUACAAAAUGAACAUACACCAAAUAUGUACAGGCCUUGGCCAGCUAAACUGUACAGCCUUGGGCUAAUCUGAGUACAGGGGCCAGGGGUAACAUUGAUGUAACAUCAUUUAUCACAAAUCCAACAGAAAAGGAAAACUGAACAAUUCCAAGUAAUACCUUUUGUCCAGGCCGUCCGGAUUCACCAGGUUCACCCUAAAGGAAACAGAUGAAAGAUGAGAUCUGAAUAAAUGAAUUAAAGAUAAAGAUGUAGAAAACCAUAACAUUAAUGAUAUCCACAGUGUCUGUGACACUGCAAAGUAACAUGGACCAACCACCCCUCUUCUACCUUCACAACUGCUUUAAAAGCACAUACCUUGAUUCCUGCAGCAGAAGAACCAGGGUCACCCUGAUACAAAAUCCACAAGAAAUAAUCACACUUAUUACAUAUACAGUUUUCCAGGAAACACUUAUAACAAAUCAUGUAAGACUAUGGUAACAUUAUAUGGCAAAAUAACUAUACAGCAAGAUUACCUGUUCUUCAUGCGGCUACACAGGAAUUUAACUAAUGAAUUCAAUCAGCGUGACUCAGAAAAGGAACAGUAUUGUUGUCAAGAUCAUGCAGAGAGAUUUAGUUUCACUCACCCAAACAGUGUAACAGUUAACCUCAAAUUUUACAACUAAUAAUGUAGACAUAGUAAUUGCAGAUUUUGUAUAAAUGCACUUCACAAAGCCAGAAGAAGGGACAUACUUUGACAUCUCUAAAUUGCUGAUCUACAUUAAAAUAAUUUACUGCUAUUUGAAAAGAAUAUGAGAAAUGAUUUUGACCUAAUUCUACAGAGGGCAAGUGUCAGGUCUCAACUGACAAAAUUUUUUGUGCUAAUGAAGACUCACCUUCAAAAAAAGCCCCAGUGACUUAUGAGUUUAUCUCCAUCAGGGCUGGUCAUAGCUCUAUUUCCUCAGCACUUUAGCUGAAGAAAUAUAUUUUAACUGAUAGAUCAAUGCAGUGAUGUGUUAUACCUUACAGGAUGAGCUAGCUACGGUAAUUUACAUAUUCAAGAAAGGUCUCUGUUCUGAGGAGGCAUUUAGAAUUCAAAAAGAUUUGCCUGUGUUUCACUGAGUUGACUGGAUUUGAUAGGCAGUGAUAAGUAUAAGGACAGAGGAUCAGUGAGUGACUGGGCCAAGGAAGCCUUUAGCUUCCAGUUUUCUACAAUUGUCACAGGAUACUUAAAAUUCUUGUACACUCAAUUAGUUGUUUUCUUUUCCUUAAACAACACGCUGAAGAAAAAAGAAAAAAAAUACUGAAAGGUUUUCUAGUCAAACUAUAUACUACUGAAGAUGGCUAGAGUACUAUAUAUUUGAAAAUAAAUUUGAAAAAUUGUUUCCUUAUUCAAAAUAAAUGUACAUCAUUUGCUGGAAGUAACAAGUUGCUACACAGCAGAAAUAUCAAGCUCCCCCACAGCCUGCUAGUGAUUUACAUAGGUAGAAUAGAAGUCAGUACUGUAAUGCACUUUGAAGAUGCAUAAGCAAAAUAUAAAUGCUUAAUAUUCUUUGUGCUAAAAUACAAAUAGGGAUACCCAUUCCUGAUGUUUCAGUGAAGCUGCAGGAAGCAUUCUGUAAAUGCCGCUGCUUUAAAGUUGGUUUGGGUAUGGAGUCUCUUUGGUAUUAUCUUACAAAAUUAAACAGUACCAGUUUAUGUGCUCAUUGUCCUUUAAAGAACAGGAGUAACAGCUACUGCAGCUUGCUCUUGUGUGAAGAAAACACAAAAAUCAGUAUUAUGAAGGGCUGAUACAUGCAUGGAAACCUGAGCUGCCUCAUUUUGAUAGACACGCAUGAGUGAUACUGCUAAUAUCCCUUACAAGCAUGUACAACUGGAAGCCUCAAGGACUUUUUAUAGCUAUGAAGUGACAAAGCAACUGGUAAGACACAUUAGCCAGUUAAACAUUUUAAAGGGUAAUGAUGGAUACAGAGAAGAUAAGACACAAAAUGGUUACAAGCCAUCUUCAUGCAAGAAUAAAAAUUAGUAUCAGAUUAAAGAAAAAAUUGCAGUACAGCAUGUUCUCAAUUCACUGAUAAGUCAAACAGUCCAUGAAUGAAGAAAAUUUAGCAGGUGAACACGUGAAAGGAAGGAAUAUAUUUGGUAGUUUCUAGGGACCAAGGCUACAGUGGAAGAAUACCGAAAUCAAGUUUGGCAUUAAGACUGUCUUCAAAGUAGGACAAUUCAACAAAGACACUUUAAUUCUAAAGUCUCAGGUCAAGAAUAAAGCACUCAAGUCCACAUUUCUGCGAGUCACUAGGUACAGUGGUUGAGAAAACAAAACUACAUUAAUUGCACAAACAGGAACCUGCUCCUAAAGCAAGUCUGAAACUGUUGUCACCUGGUAUCUCUCUCUCUCACCAUAUAAAUAAAAUUUAGUGUUUAUCUCACAGAAACAUUAUUUAAGCCUUUAAAGAAAUGCUUUUAAUUUUUGUGAACUAUGGAUUAAAUCUCUUAAGCAUAUGUGUAGCAUUAUGAUCUACUGUAAUGUUCUGUGCAUUUAUUUAUCUAAAAUUAAUGCUGUUUACUGAGCAAGAAGGGUCUGUACAUGUAUGUGGCUGAACACCUGAGAACUGAGUGGAUACCAGACUUAUCUCAUCUCUGAAUACAUCCAGUAGCUCUCUUACAAACUCACUUUAAAAAGAGUCUUAUUAAGUCUUAUAAUACAGACAAAAAUACAAAUAAAAAAGAAA
Long non-coding RNA from Pipra filicauda (Wire-tailed manakin), 3490 nucleotides. RefSeq lists it as uncharacterized. NCBI's taxonomy places the organism in Eukaryota, Metazoa, Chordata, Aves, Passeriformes, Pipridae. The record is from RefSeq and is a predicted model, not a curated record. The transcript has 3 exons.